This 1197-nucleotide ribosomal RNA is filed under the name uncultured bacterium. Its description in RNAcentral is "bacterial SSU rRNA". It matches the Rfam family "Bacterial small subunit ribosomal RNA", at positions 173 to 1397 of the family's 1533-position model. The record is from RNAcentral.
GCGCACAGUACCGCAUGGUACAGUGUGAAAAACUCCAGUGGUACAGGAUGGACCCGCGUCUGAUUAGCUGGUUGGAGGGGUAACGUCCCACCAAGGUGACGAUCAGUAGCCGGCCUGAGAGGGUGAACGGCCACAUUGGGACUGAGACACGGCCCAACCUCGUACGGGAGGCAGCAGUGGGGAAUAUUGCACAAUGGGGGAAACCCUGAUGCAGUGACGCCGCGUGAGUGAAGAAGUAUUUCGGUAUGUAAAGCUCUAUCAGCAGGGAAGAUAAUGACGGUACUUGACUAAGAAGCCCCGGCUAAUUACGUGCCAGCAGCCGCGGUAAUAAGAGGGGGCAAGCGUUAUCCGGAUUUACUGGGUGUAAAGGGAGCGUAGCCGGCAUGGCAAGUCUGAUGUGAAAGCCCGCGGCUUAACUGCGGGACUGCAUUGGAAACUGUUAAGCUGGAGUGCAGGAGAGGUAAGUGGAAUUCCUAGUGUAGCGGUGAAAUGCGUAGAUAUUAGGAGGAACACCAGUGGCGAAGGCGGAUUGCUGGACGACAACUGACGGUGAGACGCGAAAGCGUGGGGAGCAAACAGGAUUAGAUACCCUGGUAGUCCACGCUGUAAACGAUGAAUACUAGGUGUGCGGGGACUGACCCCCUGCGUGCCGCAGCUAACGCAAUAAGUAUUCCACCUGGGGAGUACGAUCGCAAGGUUGAAACUCAAAGGAAUUGACGGGGGCCCGCACAAGCGGUGGAUUAUGUGGUUUAAUUCGAAGCAACGCGAAGAACCUUACCAGGACUUGACAUCCAACUAACGAAGUAGAGAUACAUUAGGUGCCCUUCGGGGAAAGUUGAGACAGGUGGUGCAUGGUUGUCGUCAGCUCGUGUCGUGAGAUGUUGGGUUAAGUCCCGCAACGAGCGCAACCCCUAUUGUUAGUUGCUACGCAAGAGCACUCUAGCGAGACUGCCGUUGACAAAACGGAGGAAGGCGGGGACGACGUCAAAUCAUCAUGCCCCUUAUGUCGUGGGCUACACACGUAAUACAAUGGCCGUCAACAAUGGGAAGCAAAGCCGCGAGGUGGAGCAAAUCCCCAAAAACGGUUUCAGUUCGGAUUGCAGGCUGCAACUCGCAUGCAUGAAGCUGGAAUUGCUAGUAAUCGUGGAUCAGCAUGCCCCGGUGAAUACGUUCCCGGGCCUUGCACACACCGCCCGU